This 279-nucleotide ribosomal RNA is filed under the name uncultured bacterium. RNAcentral describes it as "partial 16S ribosomal RNA". It matches the Rfam family "Bacterial small subunit ribosomal RNA", at positions 506 to 784 of the family's 1533-position model. The record is from RNAcentral.
UGCCAGCCGCCGCGGUAAUACGGAGGGCGCAAGCGUAGUUCGGAUUUACUGGGCAUAAAGAGCACGUAGGCGGCUCGCUCAGUCAGGUGUGAAAGCCCACGGCCCAACCGUGGAACUGCACCUGAUACUGGCGAGCUUGAGGACGGAAGGGGUGAGUGGAACUCCAGGUGGAACGGUGAAAUGUAUAGAUAUCUGGAGGAACACCGGUGGCGAAAGCGGCUCACUGGUCCGUCUCUGACGCUGAGGUGCGAAAGCUAGGGUAGCGAACGGGAUUAGAUA